CUUGCUGUUGCGUUUAUCUUGAAAAAGUUCUGCUCUUAUUUAUUAGAGACUAAGGUCAUUAUAUUUUCAUAUUCCUGUGGCAUUGCAAUAUCUGUUGAAAAAGAAAAAAGCCAAAUCAAGACUAAUUCGAUGGAUACUCUAACUGCAGGAAUUCGAUUUAGAAAUAAGAGACAAAAGGGGUAUGGAGAAUUUUAUUGCUGAUCACCUUAGUCAUCUGCUGUUAAAGGAAGAGCUUAUGCCAUUGAAAGAUGAAUUUCCAAAUGAACACCUUUUCUGGGUAACGCUGUGGACACUCUGGUACGCUGACAUAGUCAAUUAUUUGGUCACCAACACAUUGCCAGCUAAAUUGUCCAGAGCACAAAAAGAUAGAAUCAAGAAGAAUAAUAGUAAUAUGUGUGAGAUGACCGUGCAAAUCAGAUCAUUCGCUGAUGCAUCCCUAAAGUAGAAGUUCCUUCCAUCCUGAACUUUUGUCAUUCUCAUGCUUGCGGGGACACUUCAGUCCUAAGCGCAUGGUGCGCAAAGUGCUGGAAUGCUGGUUAUUUUGGCCUUCCCUGUUCCGUGACGCAUAUAUCUAUAGUAAAAUAUGUGAAAUUGCCAACAUACAUGAAAUUAGGCCGCAAGGAUUAGAUGUCAUUAACACCCAUCCUAGUCUACGACAUCUUUGAUGUGUGGGGGAUAGAUUUUAUGGGACCCUUUCCAUCCUCCUUCGAAAACUCAUAUAUUUUACUUGCAGUGGAUUAUGUCUCCAAGUGGGUGAAAGUUAAGGCCACCAGAACCGACGACGCCCAAAACUGUUGUCAACUUCAUCAAAACCCAUAUCUUUGUUAGGUUUGGAGUGCCUCAUGCGAUGAUAAGUGAUAGGGGAAUACAUUUUUGUAAUCGAAUUGUGGCUUUAAGAAGUACCAUGUCAGACACCGUACCUCCACCACUUACCAUCCGCAGAUCAGUGACCAAGCAGAAGUUUCAAACAAGGAGGUGAAGUCCAUACUAGAGAAAAAAUUCAACCCCAACAAAAAAAGACUGGAGCUUAUGGCUAGAGGAUGCUCUAUGGGCCUACAUUACAGCCUACAAAACUCCUAUCGAAAUGUUAUCCUACUGCCUGGUUUUCGGUAAGGCCUACCACCUUCCUGUGGAGCUAGAACACAGGGACUAUUAGGCAAAUAAGAGUUACAACAUGAAGAUAGAAGAGGCCAAGCAACAUAAGAAGCUGCAACUACAGGAAUUGGAAAAGAUAAGAAAUGAAGCUUACGAAAAUUCACGAAUAAAUAAAAAGAAGAUAAAGUCCCUCCAUGAUCGAAUAGUCACCAAAAAGUAGUUUUUUUGUAGGACAGGAGGUCCUACUUUAUGAUUCCCAUCUGAAGUUGUUUCCCAGAAAAUUACGUUCUAAGUGGUUAGCCCCUUUAUUGUCACAAAAAAUUCCACGCCGGAGCAGUUGAGAUCAAGAGUCUAGACACGGAUAAAACAUUCAAAGUAAAUGGACACCGACUCAAGCCAUCUAUGAAAGAUUUGUAGGACAACAAGUUGAAGAGCUCAUCCUAGAAACCCCUACAGAUAACAACCGAUAGCGCAGAGGCAAUCUCUAGCCUAGGACAGUACACAAGGGUGUUUAACAAGAGGCAACCCAUUUUUUCUCGUUUUUUUUCUAUUUUCCUUAAAACUAUUUUGAUGUUUUUAAAAUAUAUGUGUUAUUAAGGUUUUAACCUCAAUCACUCUAACUGGAAUUUUCUUCUUUAUUUACAGGCUGUUGAAGAAACAAUGCAAGACCACUGGGUCACCAGGCUGUAAAGACUGCAUUACCCUUGCCUAAGGCUAAGAGCGAUAACCCAAGCCUUGCCCAAGACGAAGAGUGAUAACCCAAGCUUUGCCCAAGGCCUAGAGCGACAAGUUAAGCCUUGCCAAAGGGUUAGCGCGUGCCUUGUCUAAGGGUUAAUAACUUCACAAGCCUUUUCAUGGAUCGGAUGCAAGCCACAAGGCUUAAACCAUGGUAACAUAAGAAGUCUAGUUUAGAAAUAUUUAGAUAAUUCAUGCCCAAGGGUUACGUUGUAGAUGUGAUUGAAGUUUUAUACUGUGUAACCUUUGCCCAAGGCUAAAGUGAAAAAAAGAAAAAAAAAAUUCCCCUUGUGAACUAUCCACUAAGCCUUUGUCUAGGCUCAUGACACCUGACGUCCAUUUUAAAUUUAAAAUCCCUACCCUAAAACACCACUCCCCACUUUCACAAUCAAACUCUCACUCUUUUCCCUAAUCACAACCUCUCACCUCAAACCACAAGCUCCACCUAAGGAACACGCUUCACUGCAUGAUGCAAGCAACCCCUCGACCCCAUAGCAGAUGAACCUCUAGUGUCUCCCACCCCCUAGCCAACAAUACUAGGGGAUUAUUCUAUCCUUUCUUUUUCUCUUAUUCUGUUUUUUUUUUCAUUUCUUAUUUUCUGGUUUUCAUGCUACCUUGCUUGUGUCAAAUUGGGGACAAUGUGCCUUUUAAGGGUCGAAGAGGCACAUGCUGCACUUUUACGUUUCCAUUUUGGUCACAUUUUUUCUUUUAAGUACAUGCUGAUAUGCAUUCGUAGCCCUACCCAAGUCACACAUAACUACAUUUUCAACUAUUUUUAACCCCAUCUUUUCACUACUGCCUUGGUAUUUCCAAAAUAAUUUAACUGGUGUUUCAAGAACUAAAUUACAUUUUCAGUAACCUUCUAAGAUUUCUGACUUAUUUUUCAUCUUUUCACACCAUGAAGAACUAUUUCUAUUAAUAUGUCUUAACAUAACUUGUUUAGGAAUUGCAUUCAAUUGAUUUUCUCUUGUCCUGAGGUGAACACUAGUGCCUAGGGAACUUACACAACUAUCUGUCUGAAUUUGCAUGUUCAAAUUCACCAAAAAAAAGGAGAGAAAGAGCAUGAACCAUAAACUACUCGUCUAGUUGAAUGAAUUUAUAACCAAUUGUGUAACCCGGUGCAUUCAUCAUAAAUGUUUGUCAUCACGUCAAAAGGUUGGUAACAUUUAAGAUAGCCAUAAAAGUGUUAGUCAAUCGAUUAUGAAUAGUACUAGUAGCCUCUGAAAAUUGUGACCAGCUGAGUAACCGGGUGCAUUCAUCAUAAAUCUUUGCCCUCACAUAAAAAAGUUAAUGAAAUUUUAAGUCAACAAAAGAGUGCUCAAGAAGUAAUUAUUUUAAUUAUUUGUUCUCACAAUAACCCAUUUGCAUUAAGACUUUAUGUUUAGACAAGUUUAGUGUGGAUUUUACCCUAGUUAUUGGCUAUUCUUUUCAAGAUAAAAAUGUGUUCAAAAACCUACAAAACCUUUCCAUUUUAUGCUUGGAUAUUAUUCAAAGUAGUUAUUCUUUGGUGUGAUUCCAAGAAACUCAAGCCUAAAACUGCUAGUAAGGACUGUUUUUGCAAAUUUAAGAUUGAAAUAUAACAUGCAAGUUGUGGAAAAAUUAUUAAGGGCAGUAGGGUUGAGGGUGCAAGGUUGAGACUUGUUGAGUUAUAUUGUGAAGUGCUUGGAGGCAAGCACAAGAUAAAUGUGGAGGAGUUUAAUAGUGUGUAAAAACAUCAUCUUCAUUGCCCAUUUUUAAGUACUUAAUUGAAUUGUUUGCUAUCUAAAUUAAACUAUUUUAUUCAUUUUGAUAUAAGACAGAAGAUGGAGCCUAAGUCAAAAAAAUAACAAAAAAAGAGCAGAUUUCAUAAAGCAACUGUCAGUCAUGGUAUAAGCCUCAAUCAAGACUUAAACCCUACAGCAACAACAGACUUUGGCUCGCACACAAUCAAGCCUUGGGGAAAGCUAAUGCAUUAGAAAGGGCUAUAGGUUUUAGGUACACCUGACUAAGCCUCGGUCAAGGCUUAGACACGUGCAAUAGUAUAUUUUAAAAAAAGGCACAUUACCGAAGUAAAAGAAGAAAUCCCAUUGCAACCAUAAGAGGAAAUCAAGAAUCAAGGAAGAGAUUAUUUUGGAAAGCAAGAAGGAAGUCGAAAUCAUUAGGAAAGAUCUCUAUCUUUGCAAAAAGAAAACCCUAAUCCUCCUGGGGUUUAAAAGGAGAAGAAAACCAGAGAAGAAGGCAUCAUGGAUGCUACACACUGCAACACUUGUAGCUUUCUAAAAUUUUCUUCCUUUUUUCUCUUUUCAAUAGUCAUAAAACUCUAUUAUGUACUAAGCCCAUCAUGAGUUGCUGGUAACUUUCUUUUCCAGUUACAGAUUUAGUGAAAAUUCUAGUUUGAAUUGUGAGAUAUAAUGGCUUUAUUUCUUGUUUCAUUAAAGCUUCGAUAUUCGUUUAUUUCUCUAUGCGUAUUAUUGUUGCUCCUUGUUAACCAUUUGAAUAGGGCCUGUUAGCACGCGACAAGCAACAUACUACCAUCCAAAUACUAAUCCGUAAUUAUUUGGGUUGUUUCGAUACUCAGUGGUAAAUUAGCCUCUGAGCUAAGGAUAUAAGUGAUCUAGUUGAGUGGGUCACACGGUUGAAUUCGACAACUAUAACUAAGUUCUUCAAGUUUUCAAGGUUAUUGAUAAAUUAAAUUCUAGGAACAUUUCCAGAGCUAUUUAUCAACAAAAAUCAAUUAAUGAACAUUUUUUGGUUGAUUUAGGAUUAAGAAAGAAUCGGUUGUCAGAACAUUUCUGAUAACCAGAACUAGUUUGUCGAGCUUUAGUAAGACCAAUCAUUGCAUUAAUGAUUAAUUUCACUACUGGAAUCUAGCUACUCCUUUAAUUGGGAUCAUUCUUAUAUCUACUUAUUUCUUUGAUUGUCUUUUGUUUCUUUGUUUAAAUUUUAGCCUAGUAGUUUGUUUCUUUUCAUCGUUUGAACUUAAAGAAAAACCCCAUGCUCUUAUUUUUCGUUGGUCAAAGAAGAAAAGUUGUUCUUGAUUCCCUAAGGAUUCGACCCUAUUUACCACUAUUAUAAUUCUAUUUUGUUGGUUGAAUAUGACUUUUAUUUUUGGUGGAUUUGAUACCCAUAAACAAUACAUCUUAUUUUUUUCAUAAUUGGACACCUAUAUCUUAUUGUACAAUGUCAUUUAAAUCAUUAUUAAAGAGGGCAGUAAAGAUCACCUCUAUCAACGUGAACACAAUCAUAGAAAUAGUGAAAACUAAAAUAUGCUUCCACUAUACGGGACUCACUAAUCGACCGACAUCAGCAACAUACACACCCACCCCUCAACGGACAUAGUAUAGUAUAACAUAUUAGAUAUUUUUUGCAUGGGUUCACUAAUCAACCAAAAUAAGCCAUACACACAUCUAUCCAUCUGUAACACCCCACUCACCACUGUGUUUAAUUUAUAUUUGAAAAAUCCUAUUUAUUUGGGUCUUAUGGUCACACUAAACUCAUUUAUUUUAUUCCGCAGCUUAUUAUCGUGAUUCGUAAAUUAUGUUUAUUUUUAUUUUGUUUAAUUUUAUUUAAUUUUAUUUUGAUUUAAUUGUUUAAUCGUCAUUUUUUUUUAAAUAAACGAUUUUCAGAAAAAAUAAAAAAUAGGGAGAAAAAUCUUGCGAGAUUCUGCCCACGUGGGCGCCCGUGUGGUGUGUGCGCUCGUGCACACUUCCCAUCGCGCGGCGUAGAGGACAGGCCUGCGCACGCGUCUUGUCACGCACAGGCAGGACCUGUCCACGUGCGUCACAUUGCGUGCAAACAGGUAGGCGCCACACACUGUGUGCGGCCAUUCGUGCAAUAAGCCUGCAUGAAUUGGCUUGCGCGCCUUGGGCCUGUGCUCGGCUCCUCACCACGCCUUGGCCCUGUGCACAUAGGCCAGUUCCUGCGGCAGGGUAGACUGGCGCCUAAAGGCUAGGCCUACAAUGAGCACUAGGCAAAUGAGGCCAUUGCCACCUCGGACAGUGUGUCGUCGCCCAUCUUGGGUGGCAUGCUGCUGCUUAAGGUGUCGCCACCAGUGGAGGAGGUUUUUUUCCUCCGUUUUUCAUACUAAAUCUUUUUACUCUCUCUCCACCAGAUUUUACCACUUGGCACAAAUCCAAUGGCCUCCAUUUUCUAUAAAUAUGGGUCUUUCCUCCCAUUUUCUCUUCACUUUCAUUCUUCCACCUUUCAAGAGUUAGAGAGAGAGAAUGAGAGUGAUUUAGAGAGAGAAUGAGAGGAGAAAAAGAAGAAUGGUGUAGAAAAAAUUAUCAAGGUUUCGAUAAGAAAUUUAGUAUUUCUUUAGACAUCUUAAUGGAUAUUUUUAGACAAAAAAAAGGAUUAAAUUGAUAAUUCUAUGACUUUACGUAUUUUGCAUGCUCUAUGUUAGUAGACUUAAUAAGUUGAAUUGUUCUUGAUUUCGAGCAUACUAUAUGAGUUAUAGAUACUUGAUGAUUUGCAUAUAAUUAAAAUAAUAUAAAACAGGUAAGGCUAUAUAGAAAAAAAAAAAAAAAAAAAAAAGUAGAAUAAAGUAUGAAUGGUCCGAAGUAUGUACCUGUAUUGACAUGCAUAACGCAUUAAGUAUCUCAUUAGACUUUUUAUCUCUAAGGAGUAUCUAUUCCUCUAUCCCCAUUCGGGAUAUUUUUUUUUCCUCCCCCAUCUGGUAUGGAAAGACGUAAAAGGAAUGUUCCUUAUAGAUGACGGCAUACCCUCUGACGAGAGUAGUGAUGCAAAUAUCUGUUAGGAGUCACAUUUAGUUAAAUAUUUUCGUAACUAUAGAAUAUUUUAUAGGAUCACUAUGCUUGGUACGACCAUGGUCAUAGAUCGUACCAUGGUUUGGCAAUCCGGAAAUGUCUCUGAGUAAAUUGUCAUUAUCUCUAUCUAAUCUGGUCAUUCUAAAUGGAUAGUCGAAAAUUUAUAUCUGCCUUCAAAGAUAUAAGCCGUAACGACUUUACGAAGCAUGACACAAAAAUCUGAGUAUUUCAUUAUUUAUUUGAUUUUCUCUAUUGUUAGGUAUACUGUGUUUUAUUUUAAUUGUUGACUAUAACGUGAUUUUUUUUAAUAAGUAAAUUAUUUUCAUAAGGUAAGAUAGAUCUACGACGUACCUAAAUGGUAAGUAUUUAUGUUAGAAUUAUUCACCUUUUAAAACCUUAUGAUGUUAACUAAAUACUAUUUUUCUUACUGAGCAUAUGAAACUUACUUUUUCUAUGCUCCCAGAUGAGGAAGAUGAUGAGGAACCAUCAGCUGAUAUACCCAUUGAACUUUAUGAGGAUCCCAUAGAUCUGCAUACUUUGAGUGCAUGAUCGUCCUCGCACUCUGAUGAGUCCAAUAGUAUAAUGAUAGAAGUGGCUCUCUUUUGUAUUUUGACAUUGUAUUUUCCGGUCACUUCUGGCCUCACUUAUAUAUAUAUAUAAUUGAAACUCAUAUAUUUAUAAGGAAUUUGUAUUAAUUUGCUUUGUUACAUAUAAUUUUUAUCAUGCACUCGUAAUUUUUUUUCUGUAUCUGACACCUCAAUGCCUUAAUUAGCGUCUGAGAUGUCACACCAUCCAAGAACAUAACCACUGCAAUCACAUCUAUAUCAUACCGCAUAGCAAGUACAAUGCACUAUAAGUGUAAUUACAUCUAUACCGGACUACAUAGCAAGUACAAUGCACAUUACCAUAAAAUAUCUUUUUCGUCCACGUGAUAGGUUUCAUCAUCAACCAUAUCGACCGAAUCUCGGCCACACACACGCAUUAAUUUGCUUUCACAUUUUGAUUUGAAUUUUCCCUUUAAUUUUAAAUUUUCGCUCAAUAGAUUAUAUAUUUAUUUCAUACCUUUUUUUUUAGUUAAUUAAUUUCUUUCCUUACGUAUUUUUCUCUAACUUUAACCUUCACAACGAACUUAACAUUUAAUAUCAUUCCAUUAAUAUUUUAUUCGUAUAGUUUCAUUAAUAAUUUUUGUUUAACCCUAUUUGUCUAUUUAGUUAAUUUUUUGUUGUACAUUUAUGACAAGGUUUAAUACUAACCCCACUCACAACCCUAUCGUACAUGGUAUUCUUCGAUAUAUUUAUAAAUAGGCUCUAUAAUAUACUUCUAAUUUAAUAUUUUUAUUAAUUUUUGUUGGUGAUAUUAAUUUCAAAUCCACUUCUGGUUUUAAUUUUUGGACCAAUAUCCUUAGUCAACCUAUUAGACAUUUUAUUUUGACCCAUUAUAUCAUUUUGGAUAAUUAAUUCACUCUUAUCAUAUGUUAUCAUUAAUACUAUUAUUGUUAUUAUAAUUAUUAUUACUAUAACUUAUUUAUUUAUUCUUUUCUUCCUUUUUGGGUCUCUAUUCAGUGGCCCACUUUCCUAUUGCCCAUUAAGAUAAUAGUUUUGAUUUUAGAAAAAGACUUGGCUCUACCCUUGAAAUUUCUAGUUCUGACUCCUUUAGAAAUUAUAUUUUCGGGCUUGACUCGUUUAAGCCAUUGGUUAGGAACCAUCUAUCUUUUAUAGGCUCAACCCAUUAAUAUGUUUUAGGUUCAGCCCAUUCAGAAAUCAAUUCCCCAUAACCCUAAAGUUUCCUACAUCUUAUCUCUCCACCCAUGAACACAGAAGGGUUUACAAAUUAUAUUUGUAACACUUCAUUUAUAAUCACAUGUAUAGAUUCCUAAUAGAUGAAAAUGGGUGUAUUUGGUCGUUUCUAAUCUACCAUUUUAAAGAUAUAUUUUAGAUAAACUAAUUUAGGAAUUGCUUCAGAUGUAUUAAAUUACAAUUAUGGGUUAAGAAACUAAAUCAAUCUUAGUCUUCUUAGAUUAAUGAUGGUGUGAGUUUGAUUUGCGAUGAUGAUUAUUGCUUUUCCCUAAGCUACACAUACACAAAAAAAAAAAAACCCACUUUGUCAUGAAAACCCAAAUCGACGAUGAAGUUCAUCCCAUUUUUGGGUCUAUGAAAAUGAAGGAAACACUUACCAAGAGACUCACCACUCAUUGCAUAAAUGUCUAAAAUCCCGAAUUAACUUCUAGCCUUAAGCCUUCUGCUGCACCUUCACCUUCUUCAACCUUUCGAAACACUUUCCCUUCUCUCUUCUGUCGCUUCGUUCGGGUUUAGGAUUAAGGUUUGUGUUUACUUUUUUUU
This 8914-nucleotide long non-coding RNA is filed under the name Carica papaya (papaya). Its description in RNAcentral is "long non-coding RNA (CPAP_LNC009404)". The record is from RNAcentral. Lineage: Eukaryota; Viridiplantae; Streptophyta; Magnoliopsida; Brassicales; Caricaceae.